GUGCCAGCAGCCGCGGUAAUACGUAGGGCGCAAGCGUUAUCCGGAAUUAUUGGGCGUAAAGAGCUCGUAGGCGGUUUGUCGCGUCUGCCGUGAAAGUCCGGGGCUUAACUCCGGAUCUGCGGUGGGUACGGGCAGACUUGAGUGAUGUAGGGGAGACUGGAAUUCCUGGUGUAGCGGUGAAAUGCGCAGAUAUCAGGAGGAACACCGAUGGCGAAGGCAGGUCUCUGGGCAUUAACUGACGCUGAGGAGCGAAAGCAUGGGGAGCGAACAGGAUUAGAUACCCCUGGUAGUCC
RNAcentral lists this ribosomal RNA (293 nucleotides) under uncultured microorganism. RNAcentral describes it as "partial 16S ribosomal RNA". It matches the Rfam family "Bacterial small subunit ribosomal RNA", at positions 505 to 796 of the family's 1533-position model. The record is from RNAcentral.